UCCGGGGAAUUUGGAGGCCGAGUCAACACCUUGAACUCUGUCAUGUUCUUCAAACCCUUCCUGAACCAAUUGUUGCAGGCCGCAUUAUUCCGCUGAAAGAGGCCACUGCUGUUAGGGAAUACUGUUGCCAUGAAGAGGUGUACUUGUUCUGCAACAAUGUCUAGUAGCUCUUCUGAGGGAUCGGAACAGACGGGCUAGCCUUCUCUUCCCAUGCACAUCAGGGAGCCCUGGACACCCCUGACCCAGUCGACAGUUCACUGGUUGUCCUUCCUUGGAUCACUUUUGGUAAGUAUUAACCACUGCAUACCAGGAACCCCCCACAAGACCUGCUGUUUUGGAGAUGCUCUGACCCAGUGGUCUAACCAUCACAAUUUGGCUCUUAUAAAAGUCGUUCAGAUCUUUACGCUUGCCCAUU
This is a long non-coding RNA of Ictalurus punctatus (channel catfish), 415 nucleotides long. NCBI's taxonomy places the organism in Eukaryota, Metazoa, Chordata, Actinopteri, Siluriformes, Ictaluridae. The record is from Ensembl.